AUUAAAUAUAUUAAUACGGGACAAUAUACUACGGGUGAAAUCUUAUAUAUAAAAU
This 55-nucleotide small RNA is filed under the name Arabidopsis thaliana (thale cress). RNAcentral's name for it is "ATSL160570". The record is from RNAcentral. Lineage: Eukaryota; Viridiplantae; Streptophyta; Magnoliopsida; Brassicales; Brassicaceae.